RNAcentral lists this microRNA precursor (118 nucleotides) under Podarcis lilfordi (Lilford's wall lizard). The record is from RNAcentral. Lineage: Eukaryota; Metazoa; Chordata; Lepidosauria; Squamata; Lacertidae.
UGUCCAGUAGCACCUUAGAGACCAACUAAGUUGGUUCUGGGUAUAAGCUUUCAUGUGCAUGCACACGAAAGCUUUUACCCAGAACCAACUUAGUCGGUCUCUAAGGUGCUACUGGACA